CUGUUAUUCUAUUCUGCAAAUCCACUGCAUAUGUUUAUUAGUUCCAGUUGCAUUUUGGUUGACUCUUUGUGAUUUUCUACACAGAAGAUCAUGUCAUCUACAAAGAAAUAGAGUUUUACUUCUGUCUUUCUGAUUUGGAUGAGUUUGAUUUCUUUUGCUAUUUCAUUGCUCUAGCUAGGACAGCCAGUAUUGAUUGAAUAGAAGGGGUGAGAGCAUUCUUGCAUCAUGUGAGAUCCUACAGGAAAAGCAUUCCAUUUUCCCUGACUGGUUAUUUCUGCUGUGGUCAUUUCAUGGAUGGUCUUUGUAUUGUUGAGAAGGUCCCCAGUUCCAGUUAUUCCACCUGUCCGGACCGGACCAAUGUAUAUAUGUACUGAUUGCUGUCUCGUGUGUCUGUAAAAUGUGUGAAACCAAACUGCAGCCUCAACACCAUGGACACACGUCGUCAGGACCUCCUCAGGUUCGUGUUAAUUGGCCUUAG
This 478-nucleotide long non-coding RNA is filed under the name Pan troglodytes (chimpanzee). Its description in RNAcentral is "long non-coding RNA NONPTRT008616". Lineage: Eukaryota; Metazoa; Chordata; Mammalia; Primates; Hominidae. The record is from RNAcentral.